Molecule: long non-coding RNA, 3523 nt
Organism: Aedes albopictus (Asian tiger mosquito)
Lineage: Eukaryota; Metazoa; Arthropoda; Insecta; Diptera; Culicidae
Exons: 3
Source: RefSeq, a predicted model, not a curated record
UCAAACAAAAAAGUUGGAUUUUACAGCGCCGCCUGUGGCAAAGUUGCGAACUAAAACUAAACGCCAUUCGACGCGCCCUAUUUUUAUAAAAUUUUCAUCCGAAGAUACCAUGCCGAUAAAAUCACGUUUAAAGACGCUACUGAAAAAAGUUCACGUUUUUGGCCAUUCGUCCCACCGUGCAUUACCUGCGCUGCCAUGACUGUUUUGUGACCAUGUGUGUUGCUUGGGCUACUCUAGAGUGCUGCAGAUGUGUCUUAUUCUCCUUUCAGACAUUUUUAACAGCUUUGCACAUCUUGUCACUUUGUACAACAACCUGGUAACUGUUGUAAACGAUGAACAAAUAAUGAGUUCAGUAAGCAGGGCUUUUUACCUAAAUACGAAGUUCCGUCCAUUACACUGUUUUGACAAGAAUCAGCGCUUGUUUGUGUUUUCAAAAAAAGCAGAAACAGUCUCACCAAACGAUCGCCAAUAUUCAGAACCCAUCUUCUUAAUCUGUUCUCCGGGUUUAUGAAAUGGUAUUCAUUUUAUAACACUGGGUUUAUCCAUGUUAAUGACAAAUGAUAGUUGUUACAAUAUCAGUUUCACUGUAAAUGAGGGUAUCCCAUAUUUAAUAUCAAAAAUUUGCAACAACCCAUUCGUUCGUAUUCAUCCGGAAGAAAUUACACCAGAACUGAAAGGCUUACUUGAAAACUAAGUACAUGUUUGGAAGUUUCAUUCAAGUCACAAAAACUAAAAUCUUUCGACAAAAAAAAAAAUCGAUGUCUAAGGAACUAUCCAUUCUGUACGCUAUAACUCUUCGUACAUGUGGCUCUCCCAGAAGCUGGAAUGUGCCAAUUGACAGCUGAAAAACUAGGAAACGAUCAAAAGAGGAAACAGCGGAACGAAGUUGAGCUUGGCUGACAAUACGCCCUUACUGCCCGUGUUGUAUGCUGUCGAUGAUGUCGUUGUCAUCGUCAUCGGAGAUAGAGCGAAUGCCGGUUUGGUUCCUACCGUGCGAUGCAGCACAAACCACUGUCAGUUUUUCCGGCAGCAAAGGGUGGGGGAAGAAAUAAGUUUGAUGACAAUGAAGUUCUCUGGCCGUGGCAUAUGUGGAAAUUUCGUUGGAAAAUUGAACCGAGCAGAGCAUAUUGUUUUUUGGUUGCACUAUGCUGGCACACAAACUGCUCCAUGUCGUCCAUGUGCGACGGAAGGGGUGCCUAUGUAAGCUCUUUCGGACGAGUUGAUUAAAUAUUCAAAUUGCUGUGCAGUUUCUCUAUUCGGUUCGUGGUUGUUUUCGGACUCUCAUCAAUUUGGGAAAAUGCAGUAAUUGGCGAAACAUUACUAAUUAGAAGUUUCCGUUCGUUUUUGUGCAUAUUCAUGCAGCCAUCAAUUUUGGAUGUGACAGUUUUCAUGGAAACUGACAAGUUCUAAAAUUGUUUCUAGGAGCAGCAAAAUCGUUUGUUUGAGUAAAUACACUGGUUUUCCAUGCGCAUAACUGUUGAUCAUAUUCACGCGGUUUAGAUUAUUAACUGUUAACAAGGAGAUUUGGUUGUAUUUCAGUGACGAAAUUAGAUUUCUACUAAGCCUACCUUGAUAGCAUAGAACGAGCUCACCAAUUCACAUAAAGAUCUCAUAAGUCGUGUCAAAUAUUUGGUAAAACAAGCCUAACAAAUGACCAACACAACGUGAACCACAGCAACCUUGGAUAAAUGUCGGACUUCAAUGGUAAAUAUUUGGCAUAAUGACAAACAGUCUAAUGGCACCUUAAGUAUGCAUCUCUUCGUUGCUUCAUUGGCAUUGGUCAAACGACGAACAUCGCAUUAGUCAGCAAAGACUAUCACAUAUGUAUCAAGAGAAAAAUAAAUACACUCUGACAAACACGAAGGGGGAACGAACUGUAAAAAUGCUGAAAAAUUUAAUGUGUAAGCCGAAGCUAUUCAAAAUAACUCUUUUUGUUUCAUUUCAGGUACGGCAAACUUCUAUUUAAACCCUUACUUUUGAUUGAAACAGUUUCUGCUUACGAUGACUUUUUAUGGGUUAGUAUUGCACAAAAGAAAAAAAAAACAAACUGAGGCAUCUGCACGCACGAGAACCGCAGGUGUUUGGAUUAAACUUCCGGUAAUGUUCCAUGCUUCGCAACAAGCAUAUUUGUGGAUCCUUCCUCGCUGGAAGUGCGCUACUUGGAAAUAAAGCACGCUUUUUUAUCAUCGCAUGUUGUCGAGGAAAUAAGUGAGCUUGCGAUGCUCUCAGAACGGCAGCAAAACAUCACCGUUAGCAGGGCUACCGAAAUUACAUCUUCACGACGCAAACUAAUCCGAAAGUAGAGUGCAUAAAUAUUUUGACGGUCUAAUCUCAGCAAAUCAAUCAGCAAUCAACGGAAAUAACUGCUCUGGACUACCAUUCCGUGCCGUGUUAUGGUAUGGUGAAGUGGAACAGUGUUUCUCAAAUAUUCACAGCACAAUCACACAGAAUUGGUUUCUUAUUUUUUUUUUUUUUGACAGCUUAAUAUAUGAAAGUAGUAAGAAAUGGGGACACUUUUUCUCGAGGACUGAACAAUGUUAAAUGAGCAGAGUACCUAGCCAAUACAAGCAUCGUAUAUGCUGUUGAAUAGGAUGCACAAUUGGAGGCGAUAUGCUUAUAUUUUACGCGUGUCAAAUGGAAGUAUAUACACAUAUGAACUCCACUUUUGCAUCAUUUUCUACAUCAUAUACGACUUCGUGUUGGUUGGGCACACAUUACAUGGACGAAGCAAUACAUUUUUUUUUCGGGAGACGCAUUUCAACUCUACGAAAACUUGGCUUUUUUGAUGGAAAAUUCUUGCAAAAAACACUAUUGAGAACUACUGAAAAAAAAGUUGAACGAGCAGUAGCAUAUGUUGCUUCUUCAGGUUAAAGCAGCACCAGACGUCUGCCACCGCCACUGGAAAAUUAGCAUGCAGAUCCCGUAUCGCUUCAGAAAAAAAAAAUUUCGUCCUGCACUCAAGGGAAACUGUAUGAAACGACGACUGCAAGCAAUUUACCUGCCUGCCUGCCUGUCCAGGCCCAGCUUUCAGUCACAAGACGCGAUUUUCACAUUUUUUCUGCUCACACUUAGCACUUUGGUUGAUAGCACCACCACCAGCACCGCCGAGGUCGAGAAAAAAUCAUUCGUCUUGCUUAGGCUUGAGCCGGGGAAAAUCUUUUGUUGACAAUUGAUUAUUUAGGAAAACGAGAUAACAAGUCGCCGCGUUUCGCUGACGAAGCAGAAGAUUCAAGGAAAUAUCGCUAACAUUAUCUCUGAUGCUCUCCGCAGGUAGGAUGGCUUUACGAAGAUAUACCUUUGGUGAAUAAACAUUCGCCAGAUGUAGUAAGUGUAUCUUUGGUUUCUGCUUUUAUCAUUGCUGCCGGCUGUUUAAUGUGAUGAAUUGUUGAAUUUUGUAUUUUCUUAAAUAUUGACUUAUCAACGCAAUAUAAUUGGAAGCGUCUUGAGAACUGAAAAGAACAAGUGACAUGUGAAUUUGGCUAUUUGAUUGUGUAGUUCUUGGUUGGAACAUUUGUUCGCUAUC